Molecule: ribosomal RNA, 396 nt
Filed under: Triticum aestivum (bread wheat)
Lineage: Eukaryota; Viridiplantae; Streptophyta; Magnoliopsida; Poales; Poaceae
Description: partial small subunit ribosomal RNA
Source: RNAcentral
CAAUCCAGGAAAUUUGUUAGUGCAAGGGAGUACUACUGCUUCAAGCUGCAGGUCAGGAAGAAACUUUUAAACAUCAUCUUGUUCAGGGGGCGCCUUUUCCAACAGUGGGCUGUUGACAUGUAUAUCAAGAUUGAGUCUAUGAGGCUUGACUGGUACUCGAAGCCAGAAAAUCAGAAGGUUAUACGCGCCGACCUCUACCAGGGUCUUGUUGAUACCGUUGUUGCUGGCGAGUCACGCGGUGAUCGGAUUGGCAAAAGAAUCGUGCUUCCACGUACAUUUCCUGGUGGUGAUCGCGACAUGCAGCGGAGAUUCCUGGAUGCAAUGGCAAUUGUCCAGCGGUGGGGCAAACCAGAUUAUUUUAUUACGAUGACUUGCAAUCCUAUUGGGUGGAGAUAA